This 828-nucleotide long non-coding RNA is filed under the name Prunus dulcis (almond). RNAcentral's name for it is "sRNA ncRNA". Lineage: Eukaryota; Viridiplantae; Streptophyta; Magnoliopsida; Rosales; Rosaceae. The record is from RNAcentral.
UGCUCGGCGAAUAUUAUUUGAUGUUAUGUGAAUACUAUUAUUGAUGUUUUUUCGUGGAUUUUAUUUGAUGUUGGGUGAAUAUUAUUAUUCAUGUGAUGAAGCUUGCAAUAUUAUUUUUAUUAUUUGUAUUAUUAUUCAACAGAGAUAAAUGAUGUUUUCGUUGCAUUACAUAUGCAUUAUAAAUACAGUGGUGUUAAGGGGGUGUAUGUCGUUUGACGUGUAUCUAAAGGGUGGGAGAAGGCCUUAGAUAUAUAUGAGUAAAAAUGCGGAAUACAUUCAAGUGAUGGGAGCAGAGCUUGAAUAUAUUGAGGUGAUGGGAAUAGGGCCUCUAAAGAAAAGUGAAAGUUGAGAAAUUCGUAAACAAAAGAAAAAUAGGUUAAGAGACGGAUGAGCGCUAGUUCAUAUUUUAGGGUAUUCAAAGCUACAUUGGUAAAACGAAUGGUAUGGGACAUGUAGGCUUGUUGCCCUAAGAUAUGAAUUAGUGGGAUUAGAAGGGAUUUUGUUCAUGGCAUCACUGCAUAUGCAAAUUUAUUUAUCUAGUAUGAUUGCAUAAUUUCUAUAUCUUGCGUUGUUUGAUGCAUGACACUUUGAUUAACUGUGGUAGCUGACCUUGAGGGGUUUGACGGAACUCUAUUGGGCAUUAGAAUGCUCAUACCCUAAUAGAUUGUGCAUGAUUCAAGGCGAAGUUUGAAGAAGCGGGUUUCAACCAAGCUACUAGGUUUUUGUUGACGAUUUGUGUAAUUAACAUUUGUAAGUAGUCAACCGUUUGAUAAAGAUCUUAGUGUGUAUUUAACUACGAGCUAUACUGCGACUUUGAUUUUGUGGUGU